GCCGCAGUAUUUUGACUGUGCAAAGGUAGCAUAAUCAUUAGUUUUUUCAUUGAAAGCUGGAAUGAAGGGUCGGAUGAGAAAGUUUCUGUCUCAGUAUUAUUUACCUUGAAUUUUAUUUUUAAGUUAAAAAGCUUAAAUUAUAUAAAAAGACGAGAAGACCCUAUAGAGUUUAAUAGAUUUAUAUUACAGUUAUUAAUAGAUACUAAUUUAAUUGUUUUAUAAUUUAUUUGGUUGGGGUGACUUAAGAAUUGAUUAAACUUCUUAAAUUUUUAACAUUGAUUAAUGAAUAGAUGAUCCUGAUUAUUUGGAUUACAAGAAUAAAUUACCUUAGGGAUAACAGCGUAAUCCUUUUAGAGAGUUCUUAUCGAUAAAAGGGAUUGCGACCUCGAUGUUGGAUUAAAAUUAAAUUCUGGUGCAAAAGCUAGGGAUUUA
Molecule: ribosomal RNA, 432 nt
Filed under: Alosimus longicollis
Lineage: Eukaryota; Metazoa; Arthropoda; Insecta; Coleoptera; Meloidae
Description: partial large subunit ribosomal RNA
Rfam family: Archaeal large subunit ribosomal RNA
Source: RNAcentral